Molecule: ribosomal RNA, 253 nt
Filed under: uncultured bacterium
Lineage: Bacteria
Description: partial 16S ribosomal RNA
Rfam family: Bacterial small subunit ribosomal RNA
Source: RNAcentral
UACGGAGGGUGCAAGCGUUAAUCGGAAUUACUGGGCGUAAAGCGCACGCAGGCGGUUGAUUGAGUCAGAUGUGAAAUCCCCGGGCUUAACCCGGGAAUUGCAUCUGAUACUGGUCAGCUAGAGUCUUGUAGAGGGGGGUGGAAUUCCAUGUGUAGCGGUGAAAUGCGUAGAGAUGUGGAGGAAUACCGGUGGCGAAGGCGGCCCCCUGGACAAAGACUGACGCUCAGGUGCGAAAGCGUGGGGAGCAAACAGG